GUAAAUGUGAUGAGUGACUCCACCAGGGUGUGCAGGUUGGUUAUUCCUCCAUGGCUGAAUUCACUAUCACUGACUCUUUGAACUGUCAGCAAUCCCGUCAUCUGCUAAUUAAGGAUCUGAAGUUUCAAUUGCAACAAACGACGUCACCAUGA
Molecule: long non-coding RNA, 152 nt
Filed under: Phasianus colchicus (ring-necked pheasant)
Lineage: Eukaryota; Metazoa; Chordata; Aves; Galliformes; Phasianidae
Description: lncRNA (ENSPCLG00000002468.1)
Source: RNAcentral